GACGAACGCUGGCGGCGUGCUUAACACAUGCAAGUCGAACGGUGAUGCUCCAGCUUGCUGGCGUGGAUCAGUGGCGAACGGGUGAGUAACACGUGAGCAACCUGCCCCAGACUCUGGAAUAAGCGCUGGAAACGGCGUCUAAUACUGGAUACGAAACUGGCCCGCAUGGGCAUGGUUUGGAAAGUUUUUCGGUUUGGGAUGGGCUCGCGGCCUAUCAGCUUGUUGGUGAGGUAAUGGCUCACCAAGGCGACGACGGGUAGCCGGCCUGAGAGGGCGACCGGCCACCCUGGGACUGAGACACGGCCCAGACUCCUCCGGGAGGCAGCAGUGGGGAAUAUUGCACAAUGGGCGAAAGCCUGAUGCAGCGACGCCGCGUGAGGGAUGACGGCCUUCGGGUUGUAAACCUCUUUCAGCAGGGAAGAAGCGAAAGUGACGGUACCUGCAGAAGAAGCACCGGCUAACUACGUG
This 468-nucleotide ribosomal RNA is filed under the name uncultured bacterium. Its description in RNAcentral is "partial 16S ribosomal RNA". It matches the Rfam family "Bacterial small subunit ribosomal RNA", at positions 28 to 507 of the family's 1533-position model. The record is from RNAcentral.